RNAcentral lists this ribosomal RNA (392 nucleotides) under uncultured bacterium. Its description in RNAcentral is "partial 16S ribosomal RNA". It matches the Rfam family "Bacterial small subunit ribosomal RNA", at positions 523 to 918 of the family's 1533-position model. The record is from RNAcentral.
AUACGGAGGAUGCGAGCGUUAUCCGGAUUUAUUGGGUUUAAAGGGUGCGCAGGCGGCCAUUUAAGUCAGCGGUUAAAUCGUGGGGCUCAACCCCAUUCUGCCGUUGAUACUGGGUGGCUUGAUUGCGGUCGAGGUUGGCGGAAUUCGUUGUGUAGCGGGGAAAUGCAUAGAUAUGACGAAGAACACCGAUUGCGUAGGCAGCUGACCAGACCGCAAAUGACGCUCAUGCACGAAAGUGCGGGGAUCGAACAGGAUUAGAUACCCUGGUAGUCCGCACAGUAAACGAUGAAUACUUGUUUUCGGCGAUAUAAUGUCGGAGGCAAAGCGAAAGCGAUAAGUAUUCCACCUGGGGAGUACGCCGGCAGCGGUGAAACUCAAAUGAAUUGACGGGG